This 357-nucleotide transfer-messenger RNA is filed under the name Halieaceae. RNAcentral describes it as "CABYJX01 sp913051825 Standard tmRNA". It matches the Rfam family "transfer-messenger RNA". Rfam says of the family: Bacterial tmRNA, also known as 10Sa RNA or SsrA, is named for its dual tRNA and mRNA-like properties. Its role is to liberate the mRNA from a stalled ribosome. To accomplish this part of the tmRNA is used as a reading frame that ends in a translation stop signal. Lineage: Bacteria; Pseudomonadati; Pseudomonadota; Gammaproteobacteria; Cellvibrionales. RNAcentral also lists the same sequence under 1 other name. The record is from RNAcentral.
GGGGGCGAUACGGAUUCGACGACGGUAACAAACCCUGCGGUGCAUGCCGUGAUGACAGCCAAUCACGUAAAUCCAAAGCUGUAACUUAAUAGUUGCCAACGACGACAACUACGCUCUAGCGGCUUAAACCCCGUUAGCGGUCUAUAGCAAGGUUCCAGCCCCGCGCUUGUGACUGUCAUAUAGAACUGGAUCGCAGUUAGGCAUGUCUUGGGCUUAACCGUUAAAAAAACUAAAGGCUCGCUGCUUUCGUCCUGCCCGCUGGGCUGAAAGGAGCUAAAUUAAUAAACGGGGUCUAAGCAUGUAGAGCCAAAGGCAGCGUGCUGGCGGACGCGGGUUCAACUCCCGCCGCCUCCACCA